GCAGGACACGUCCUAUCUUCCAUGACUCCUUUGAUGACUGUCUGAGGGAGGGGGUCUCCCUGCUACCAGUCUUACUGCUAGACUCCAAGCUACACCCACAUGGAGUAUCUAGAAGAGACUUUGUCAACCAGGAUCUGACCAUGUCAUUUCCUGCAACAGCUCCCUGUUGUCCUGAAGAUCAACCCCACACUUCCUGACUAAAUCAACAGGCCCUGCACCAGUGGAUUCAGCUGGCCCUUCCAGCCUCAUUGCUUGGAAAUCAUGGCAGAAAUGACAGACGGCAAUUCUAGUGCCCAACACCAUUCUCUUCUCCAAGAUACCCAGCCCUGUGUCUUUUAUGGAAGCUGGGCAGAUGACUGCUUCUCAUCCUCAUCCUAGCACCUGGAGG
RNAcentral lists this long non-coding RNA (388 nucleotides) under Homo sapiens (human). Its description in RNAcentral is "HSALNT0154551". Lineage: Eukaryota; Metazoa; Chordata; Mammalia; Primates; Hominidae. The record is from RNAcentral.